AGGACGAACGCUGGCGGCGUGCUUAACACAUGCAAGUCGAACGAUGAAGCAGAGCUUGCUCUGCCGAUUAGUGGCGAACGGGUGAGGAACACGUGAGAAACCUGCCCCAGACUCUGGGAUAACAAUUAGAAAUGAUUGCUAAUACCGGAUGACGUCGGAGAACCGCAUGGUUCACUGACGAAAGGAAAUCCGGUUUGGGAGGGUCUCGCGACCUAUCAGCUUGUUGGCGGGGUAAUGGCCCACCAAGGCGUCGACGGGUAGCUGGUCUGAGAGGAUGAUCAGCCACACUGGGACUGAGACACGGCCCAGACUCCUACGGGAGGCAGCAGUGGGAAUCUUGCGCAAUGGGCGAAAGCCUGACGCAGCAACGCCGCGUGCGGGAUGAAGGCCUUCGGCUGUAAACCGCUUUCAGCAGGAACGAAAUGACGGUACUGCAAGAAGAAGAGCGGACCAACUACGUGCCAGCAGCCGCGUAAUCGUGA
Molecule: ribosomal RNA, 482 nt
Filed under: uncultured soil bacterium
Lineage: Bacteria
Description: bacterial SSU rRNA
Rfam family: Bacterial small subunit ribosomal RNA
Source: RNAcentral